RNAcentral lists this ribosomal RNA (255 nucleotides) under uncultured bacterium. Its description in RNAcentral is "partial 16S ribosomal RNA". It matches the Rfam family "Bacterial small subunit ribosomal RNA", at positions 524 to 776 of the family's 1533-position model. The record is from RNAcentral.
GACGUAGGGUGCGAGCGUUGUCCGGAUUUAUUGGGCGUAAAGAGCUCGUAGGCGGCUUGUUGCGUCGACUGUGAAAACCCGCGGCUUAACCGCGGGCUUGCAGUUUGAUACGGGCAGGCUAGAGUUCGUGAGGGGGAGUCUGGAAUUCCUGGUGUAGCGGUGGAAUGCGCAGAUAUCAGGAGGAACACCGGUGGCGAAGGCGGGAUCCUGGGCCAGUACUGACGCUGAGGAGCGAAAGCGUGGGGAGCAAACAGG